CUAUUGCGUCCUUGACGGCUGAGAUGUGGCGCUGGAGGUAGUCUAGCCUUUUCCAGUCAUCCAAUGGAUCCGGCAUGCUUUCGUCGCCUUCCACGUCAGCGAUUCCUAAGUGCAUCCAGGAAAUCCAUUUCUCUCCAAAUCCCUUUGCUCUGAGUAUAUCAAUAAUUGUCUGAUGUUCAAUAGUGUCAAAAGCUUUCUCAAAAUCCAGUUUAAUCACCAUCAUCUCUUCUUUUGAUUUAUGACAUUGAUGGAUAUAUUCAUAUGCCCCACCAAGGCAGUCCUGGAUCAUUCUAGCUUUGAGGAACCCAUGUUGAUUGAUAUGUACCAUCUAGAGAAUAAUUCUUUGUAAUCUAUUGGCCAGUAGUUUGGUAAUUAUCUUAAGUACUGCAUUGAGCAGUGAGAUUGAUCUGAAAUCAUUGGGUGAGACUGGCACUUCCUUUUUUGGAAUCGAUGUAAUGAAGGAUGUAUUGAUGCUUUCAAGAUUUAUAUUACCAGCAUGAAAAGCCAUGAUGAGCUCAGUGAUAUCCACUUUAAUGAUGUUCCAACAAGCUUUGAUGAACUCAUUAUUAAAUACAUCAGGACCUGGAGAUUUAUCUGUAGGAAGGUUUUUUACCACUUCAUCAAUUUCCUCCUGUGUAAAAGGCUUUUCAAGAUCUUGGAAGAUCUCAGACUCAACAAUAUGUCCAUAUAGAUCAUUCAAAUCAAAGUGCAUUGUGUGACCAUUAGAUUGUCCAAAUGUUUUUUUAAAGCCUCCCAAAGAAUAGUUGUUUUCCUUCAUGGUCAGUAAUUUCCACUUGAUCAUCAUUUAGAAGCAUAGCAAUUUUAUUAUGUCUAUGAUUAAUAGUGGAUUUGGUAUGAAAGAAUUUGGUGUUCUCAUCACCAAAGUUAACACGUUUUAUUUUCCCUCUUUGCUUCCAAUAAAUCUUGUGAUUCUUAAGUAAUGUCAAUAGGAAUUCCUUCAGCAUAGACCUACAAUUCCCUUCAAAUACUAAGAGAUAUUUAUAUUCCUCAAUCAAGUCCCAGAGGAAAAUACAAGCAUUUAAACCCUCAAACUGCUUUUUAAGAAAUGACAAACUCUUGGCCCACAAUUUUAAAGAUCUUCACAAAUUCUUAAACUUUGCAUUGAUUUUUUUGGCAGGAUCAGUGUAACCCACAGGAAUAUUCCAGGCUGCUUGAACAAUGUCUUUGAAAGAGUUCUGUUUCAACCAAUAAUUUUCAAAGCUGAAUACCUUGGACUUGGGAAUGCAGACCAAACCAAUAUUCCACAAUACACAAUGUUUAUUUGCAGACCAAUUUCAGAAGUGUCGCUUCUAUUCAUUUCCGUUCUCUAAUCUACUAGUAAAUUAAGUCUGAACCGAGAACUGAACCUAAAUUCCGGUCCACCGAAUCUUUGGUUAGGAAUUUUCCCAAUGACCAAUCGGCCAUCCUUUUUUGAAGACCGAAUUUCUUCAAAAGCUGAAGAACCGAACCGAACGGUUCAAUUACAUAGAAUGCCCAGCUCUCCAAACGCCUCCACUUUCUCCCAGUUGAACAUGUGAUAUUUCUUACACCGAGUCUUCUUGCCAAAGCAAUCUUCUCCCAAAACAAUCAAAUAUUUUCUUUACUCCUUUUGGCAAGCCAUAAAAGGAAAGCAUGCACAACGGUUUAUAUUUUCUAGACUACUUACUCUGGAGCAAAGCCCCGGUCCUUUAUUCAAAACCAAAUAGUAUGUACAGGGGUCAAGUAGUCAGCUACAUAUACAAAACUUACCUACUUAUUACCUAACAAAAAGGAAAACUAAAGGAGGCUGGCAAUCUAAGCCAGAAGAUUCGGUCUAUCACAAGCCCUCAUUCUACAAGAAAGAAGGGUUAUAUCAUGUACUCCCUCUGUUCCGAUUUACUCGUCGUGGUUUUAGUUCAAAUUUGAACUAAAACCAUGACGAGUAAAUCGGAAUGGAGGGAGUACAAAUUUACAACACCAUGAGCCAAAAGUGGGAUAGCUCUGAUUGUCCUUCCAUUUAUGACAAUCCAUAUAUUCCAUUUCCAAGCAGAGUCAGCAUAACUUCGAAGAAGAAAGGAUGAGCAAACCUCAUGUUUGCCCCGACAAUGCAUGGUCUGAUCUCAGACCCAUGUGCCGGAUCUAGCUAUCUCCAAGUAAUUGCUGAUCCUAAGGCUGAACUAGCGGGAGAAGAAGAGAUGAAGUCUGUAACACAUUACACAUGGGUUUAUUGCUCAAAGAAGCAGUGAGCAAAGAGAUCAUGCCUCCAAUACUAAUUUCCUUGCCAAUAUUCUGAUCUUAAAAACAUUAGAAAACAAGCACAAGGCCUCACUUUAUAUAGAUAAAUCGACGAGUUCCACAAGAACACGAUUAUUGAACACAAACGUUCAGCAAGCAAAAGGGAAAUAGUUCGGGCUGGGGCGGCAGCACAGAUAAGCCCGACAUAAAGAAAAAGAACACAACCUACAGAGCCCGCCGGAACCGGAAGCUGGCGAGCCACACCCUCCGGAGGCCAAGAAGGAGCCCAUCCAAUACGCCGUGAUCCCGACGCCAAGCGAGCAUCCGCCAUUACAGAAUCGAUCGAGGCUACUAAUUCAACAUCCCUGGCAGUGAACUGAAACGGCCACAUCCUCCCUUCAUUUUAUUGCACCCAUCCGAUUAUUAAUUUCUUCAAACUAACUGCAUGCCAUGCAUCCAGCCUUGGAUUAUUUGUUCGAACAUAGCACCACUUCGUUCUCCAUCAUACAGAAACGGAAGCAGCUGUCAUGGUUGCGUUGUUAUUGGUGGUCUUAAGCAAGGGUUUUGGGACGGAAUUGAACUUGGAGAACCACUUGGCCGACUUCUUGAGCUUGCGCUUGUUGCCGUCAUUCUUGUCGAUGUAGACAAGGCCGAACCGUGAGCUGUAGCCGAGGCUCCAUUCGAAGUUGUCGAUCAGACCCCACGUCAAGUGGCCCCGCACGUCCGCGCCCUGGCUGAAAGCACACAUACAUUUGAGUAAUCAGUGUGCUAUAUUAGGGUAUGUAUGUAUGUAGGUAGGUAAGAGUACAAAAUAAAUGAAAAAAAUAGGUAGGGUUUUAGCGUGGGUAGUUACUCUAUUGCGUCCUUGACGGCUGAGAUGUGGCGCUGGAGGUAGUCUAGCCUCUUCCAGUCAUCCAAUGGAUCCGGCAUGCUUUCGUCACCUUCCACGUCAGCGAUUCCUGCACACACACAAGUUAGAGGUAAUCCAUCACACUUCCUUUAAAAAAAACCUCCAAUGAACCAUUACAUCAUAUCUCCAUGGAUUAGGUUCUUGUCUGAUUUGAGGGAACUAGUGCCACUCGAACACAAAGAUUGUUUACAGAUUAGUGUGUGUCAAUCUUCAUGAGGAUUAGGGUAAUGAGGAUCAUGGAAAUUUGACUAGUUACUUUUGAUGUCAGAUUUUCAACCUUUUUAUUAACGGCAAGUCAACUAAAGUUUGAUAUGAACCGAUGACUGGUCAUUCGAUUACUACAAAAUCCAAUGCUAUAUACACACACACAUAUCACUACUUACCGUUCUCAGUGAUGAAGACAGGUGGGUUUCCGUAUUUCUCCUUCAUGAUCAGAAGGAGGUCCGUUAGGCCUUUUGGGUACAUGUAGAUCCAAUAAGUCCCGGU
This 3610-nucleotide long non-coding RNA is filed under the name Triticum aestivum (bread wheat). RNAcentral's name for it is "long non-coding RNA (TAES_LNC023361)". The record is from RNAcentral. Lineage: Eukaryota; Viridiplantae; Streptophyta; Magnoliopsida; Poales; Poaceae.